UGCAGGGACACAUGUAGACAGAACACU
RNAcentral lists this non-coding RNA (27 nucleotides) under Cricetulus griseus (Chinese hamster). The record is from RNAcentral. Lineage: Eukaryota; Metazoa; Chordata; Mammalia; Rodentia; Cricetidae.